CAAUAAUACCAAUGCAAAUAUAAGGUAAAAGUCCGAGUCAGCCUUUCCCGCCACAUUUACAAUCUCAAAUAUCUUGAAAAGGCGGUCCAUGACCUAACAAUAUUUUUAGCUUAUUUUAAUCUUUAAUUAAUGCUCUACCAGCUUAUAGUAUCAAUUUUAACUUCUUAAUUUAUUAAUUUUCACCUAACCUCACCUAAGUACAUCCUUAAAUUUUAAGCCUAUUUUCUACAUGUUCUCUUUACAGUAAGUCUUAUUUUAUCAAGUACUGUGGAUUCAUUAUUAUUCGUUGGAUACCAAUUUUCGUGGCUUUAGUGGGUAUAGGUGAACCACGAAAUUAAAUGUUUAACGAAUAAAACGUUUUCAAUGCAGACUUCAGCAAAACCAUGAAAUCAAUUAUCCACGAAAACAUGCAAGUUAUCCUUAAUCCACGAAAACAUGCAAGUUAUCCUUAAUCCACGAAAACAUGCAAGUUAUCCUUAAUCCACGAAAAGUCAUACCCACGAAAAUAAAUGAAUCCACAGUAACAAUUAUUAACUAGGAAAUACUACAAACUAUUCAAAAACUUCGUUUAAAUUUUAUUGUCUUCAGUAUAAUUAGUUUAAUUUUAAUUUUGGCACCAAUAUGAGACUAUGAUUGUCCUUUUCACUUCAUAAAACUUUUAUUUUAAAAAUUUCUAACACUAACAAAUGUGAAAAUGUACAUUAAAAUUUAUAUUUACAAUAAUCAGAAUUUUAACUAUUAAGUAGAGCAUAUGAUUAAAGCAUAUACAGGGUUCUCGCUAAGGCGAGUCCAUGAGUCCUGGACUCAUCAAAAUCUGUCUGGACUCACCAUUUUCAAACUGGUGAUCCACAGAUGCAUCAAGAUUAAAAUAUUUUGUAUAAACUGAACACAGUUAAACACAAAUAUGAAAUAUCAUCAUUUUACAGCAAAAGUUAAAAGUAAUCUGAAUUUAAUGUCAUUCUAUUGCUCUGUUAGACUAAAAUAUUACAUUAUAUUUCAAUAAAAUAUCUUCUUCUUGCUGUUAGACUCACCGAGGCCAAAAAUGACAAGUCCCUGGACUCGCCCAUAAAUCCUUAGCAAGAUCCCUGAUAUAUAGAUGUGUGAUAAAUGGUUAUUUGGCAAUUUUUUCUUCCACAAUAUAACAAUCUAUACAAAACUAACUUUAACCCUACACCUAAGCCUAUAACUAUAUCUUUUAAACUCUUACACAAUUCUAACCUUUAACCUAAAACAACCCCUGACCUACUAGGUAUUGCUUACUGUUAAGUGAACCCUAAUCUGACAUCAUAGAUGCCAUUUUAAAGUUUGAAUUUAGCAAGAAUCUAUAGGAUAUAUUUGUCAAAUAAAACAUCUGUUUAACAGUACAUAUUUUGAUUAAUUUAAACACAUACAAUAUGCUUUCAGCACUUGCUUUCAUAUACUUUUGACACAAGUAUCACCAUGGCUACAACUUGUUCUUCUUUCACAAUGGUUAUUGAAUUUGUUAGGAUGUAUCACGAUAGUAAGUUUUUCUGUACAUAUGUUGUAUUUCUUCCACCAAUAAAUAGACUCUAAAAAUCCCAUCCCUUCCACAAUUGUUAUGUCUGAGGAUUUAUACUUAUAAAACCCUGUAAAUUAUCUCCUCUGCAGGUUCAUUCUAAGUAAACCCUGUAAAUUAUCUCCUCUGCAGGUUCAUUCUAAGUAAGAAUAUGUUACUUAUGGACAAAGUGUGACUUAAACAUCAAUGAGACAGCUACUCAAAGAUACUUUUUUUCUUUCUAAUGUAAGUUUGCUUUAAAAUACGGAAUCAAGAAGGACAAUAAGUUUUUUAAGCGAUACACUAUUCUUACAUUUCUUUUGUUCAUAUUACAUUCAAUUAUAUCUAAUCAGUCAACAAAAUGUAAAUUAAAACAAAAUUUUAAUGAGAUGCUAGGAUUACUAGAUUAC
Molecule: long non-coding RNA, 1926 nt
Filed under: Mytilus galloprovincialis (Mediterranean mussel)
Lineage: Eukaryota; Metazoa; Mollusca; Bivalvia; Mytilida; Mytilidae
Source: RNAcentral